GACCGCCGGUGACAAACCGGAGGAAGGUGGGGAUGACGUCAAGUCCUCAUGGCCUUUAUGUCCAGGGCUACACACGUGCUACAAUGGCCGGUACAAACCGUUGCCACCUCGCGAGAGGGAGCCAUUCGGAAAAAGCCGGUCUCAGUUCGGAUUGCAGGCUGCAACUCGCCUGCAUGAAGCUGGAAUCGCUAGUAAUCGCGGAUCAGCAUGCCGCGGUGAAUACGUUCCCGGGCCUUGUACACACCGCCCGUCACAUCACGAAAGUCGGCUGUACCAGAAAUCGGGGGGCCAACCCGCAAGGGAGGUAGCCGCUUAAGGUAUGGUCGGUGAUUGGGGUGAAGUCGUAACAAGGUAACCGUA
This 360-nucleotide ribosomal RNA is filed under the name uncultured bacterium. RNAcentral describes it as "bacterial SSU rRNA". It matches the Rfam family "Bacterial small subunit ribosomal RNA", at positions 1147 to 1504 of the family's 1533-position model. The record is from RNAcentral.